This 465-nucleotide ribosomal RNA is filed under the name Vreelandella stevensii. RNAcentral describes it as "partial 16S ribosomal RNA". It matches the Rfam family "Bacterial small subunit ribosomal RNA", at positions 338 to 795 of the family's 1533-position model. Lineage: Bacteria; Pseudomonadati; Pseudomonadota; Gammaproteobacteria; Oceanospirillales; Halomonadaceae. The record is from RNAcentral.
CCUACGGGGGGCAGCAGUGGGGAAUAUUGGACAAUGGGGGGAACCCUGAUCCAGCCAUGCCGCGUGUGUGAAGAAGGCCCUCGGGUUGUAAAGCACUUUCAGUGAGGAAUAACGCCUGGUGGUUAAUACCCAUCAGGAAAGACAUCACUCACAGAAGAAGCACCGGCUAACUCCGUGCCAGCAGCCGCGGUAAUACGGAGGGUGCGAGCGUUAAUCGGAAUUACUGGGCGUAAAGCGCGCGUAGGUGGCUUGAUAAGCCGGUUGUGAAAGCCCCGGGCUCAACCUGGGAACGGCAUCCGGAACUGUCAAGCUAGAGUGCAGGAGAGGAAGGUAGAAUUCCCGGUGUAGCGGUGAAAUGCGUAGAGAUCGGGAGGAAUACCAGUGGCGAAGGCGGCCUUCUGGACUGACACUGACACUGAGGUGCGAAAGCGUGGGUAGCAAACAGGAUUAGAUACCCUGGUAGUC